Lathyrus oleraceus (garden pea) is the source of this 107-nucleotide small nucleolar RNA. Lineage: Eukaryota; Viridiplantae; Streptophyta; Magnoliopsida; Fabales; Fabaceae. The record is from RefSeq and is a predicted model, not a curated record.
AUGCCCAUGAAAAGGGAACAGUCUUAACAGAUCCUUAUAAUGCUCACAUGCGUCAAACAAUAAUUCUCCAUCAUCUUGUCUAAAAAUAUUAAUCUCAUUCCUAACUU